CCUACGGGAGGCUGCAGUGAGGAAUAUUGGUCAAUGGACGAGAGUCUGAACCAGCAAAGUAGCGUGAAGGAUGACUGCCCUGUGGGUUGUAAACUUCUUUUAUAUGGGAAUAAAAUGUUCCACGUGUGGGGUUUUGUAUGUCCCAUAUGAAUAAGGAUCGGCUAACUCCGUGCCAGCAGCCGCGGUAAUACGGAGGAUCCGAGCGUUAUCCGGAUUUAUUGGGGUUAAAGGGAGCGUAGGUGGAUUGUUAAGUCAGUUGUUAAAGUUUGCGGCUCAACCGUAAAAUUGCAGUUGAAACUGGCAGUCUUGAGGACAGUAGAGGUGGGCGGAAUUCGUGGUGUAGCGGUGAAAUGCUUAGAUAUCACGAAGAACUCCGAUUGCGAAGGCAGCUCACUGGACUGCAACUGACACUGAGGCUCGAAAGUGUGGGUAGCAAACAGGAUUAGAUACCCGGGUAGUC
RNAcentral lists this ribosomal RNA (460 nucleotides) under uncultured bacterium. RNAcentral describes it as "partial 16S ribosomal RNA". It matches the Rfam family "Bacterial small subunit ribosomal RNA", at positions 338 to 795 of the family's 1533-position model. The record is from RNAcentral.